Vespa velutina is the source of this 2365-nucleotide long non-coding RNA. RefSeq lists it as uncharacterized. The record is from RefSeq and is a predicted model, not a curated record. The transcript has 3 exons. NCBI's taxonomy places the organism in Eukaryota, Metazoa, Arthropoda, Insecta, Hymenoptera, Vespidae.
UUCAAUCCGAUAAGUAGGAACCUUAUUCGACAUAGCGAAGGGAUGGCGGGGGGAGGGAGGAGGGUGGAAAAAUAGGAGAAGAGUACAAGUUGUGAUACGUAGAAUGCGGGAAGAAGAUCUAUGCGUUUACAUAGAUCGGUACGAGUCUCCCGGAGAAGAGAACCGUUCCGUUCCGUUCCUAUGGCCAAUUGGCACGGUUGACCCGUCAUUAGGAUCAAGGAUUUUCGUCGACGUGUCAACCUACCUCAGCCACCAGCAGCCUACUCCUAUAUAACAGCAUUGCGAAAGAGGGACAAGACCCGGUUACCUACAUUCCCUAUACACCGGCUAUUGAAAAAGAUAAAUAAGAAGAAGAAGAAGAAGAAGAAGAAGAAGAAGAAGAAGAAGAAGAAGAUGCAGAAAAGAGAGGAAGCAGCUUUAGAAGGAAGGAAGAGCGAGAUGGAAGCAACCGGUUGACACAUAUAUGUGCCACGGUGAUUCCCCCACUAUCGAACUCCUUCCUCCCCCUCCACCUAUCCUCCUCUGCAUUCUAUCUACCAACACCAUCAUACACACAACACUACCACUGACAUACGCAGCGUGCAAUACGGCUUGCUCGUCUUGUGCACCGGGGCGCAAUGCACUCUCGGCGAGGCCUUGCACCGGCCAGGGAUUCUCAAUUCGUUCGUAUAUAUUUUCCCCUAGAAAUCCCGGAAAAAAAAACUGUACUCUUUUUCUCUCUCUCUUUUUUUUUUUUAUUUCCCUCUUGUUUUUUUCAAUUUUUUUUUCUUUUUUUUUUCUUUUUUUUUUUUUUAAUCCAUUUACAAAUUCAUUUCACUAUCGUUUAUGGCAACGAUCGAUUACGAUUUAACGUGUUUCGAAUAGAAAAUAAUUAAAAAAAAAGAAAAAGAAAAGAAAAAAGAAUAGAAUCGUCUGAUCAUUUUUUAUUUAUUUAUUUCUUUUUUUUUUUUUUUUUUUAUUAACUUCCUAAGUUUUGUUCUUCCCUCGUUAUUAUUAUUAUUAUUAUUAUUAUUAUUAUUAUUAUUAUUAUUAUUGUUAUUAUUAGUAUUAUUCUUUUUUGGAAAUGAAAGCGAGCGAAUGAACAGAAUGGCAGAGGCAAAAAUUAACAGCGACUAGCCCGCAGUUAACCAUGGCUAGCUAAACUUCUUCUAAACUUCAAAACUCUCACCGUCUUUGCGAGUUUCACAAGUCGACGACGUUUGGCGCGCUCUUUCUGCUUGGCGUGCCUUGGUAUGCAAAUUGUAGGCCCCGAACGCCGCUAAAUGCACCGCCUCUCUAGGUCGUAUAUCUAAAUUACGUUAUAUUGCCCGUAGGUAAGACAUAAAUCGAAUCUCUUGCGAAAUAUAACGAUGAGUAUCGAAGCGAUUGCUAUCGUCUAAAUACUCAUAGGCCGAUCGAUACUUUAAUCGAACUUAGAAGAUCUCACUGAGAUAAUACUAACAAGAAAGGACGUACAUGCAUAAAUAUCUCCUUUAUUAAUUUAGCGAAAAUAAGGAAGGAUUAAAAAAAGAAAGACAUAGAGAGAGAGAAAAAGAGAUAGAUAGAUAGAUAGAUAGAGAGAGAGAGAGAAAAAAAAGAAAAUAAAAAGAAAAAGUUGUAUGUCGAAGCUCGAGGCCAUAAGAUUCCGAUCGGUCAAUAUCUUAUACGCUUUAUAACUACAUUUAAGACUCGUUUUAUCGGGAGGAAUUAAAAUAUCAAAAGGCAUCAUCUUUACCUCGAUGGAUAUAACUUGCAUUACUAAUUGCAUCUUAAUUACCGUCUCUACGGACGAUACGUUAUAACUACGGCCGUCUGGCGAAACGCUAUACGAUAUUAAUCUCGGAUGAAACGCGACAACCAUACAGUGGGAUUAGAAAGUGAGAUCUGAAAAUCUCAUAAAGCGACGUGACUAAUUUUCAUCUCGUUCAGUUUCUAUGUAUAAUAUAUGUAUCCUACGUAUAACGUAGCUCGGCGAUUACGUUUCUGCGACGACGACGACGACGACGACGACGACGACAACGACGAAGAAAAAGGAGGAGGAGAAGGAGAAGAAAAAGGAGGAGACUAGACGGUCGCUCACGUGGCAUGCGUUCGAUCGACUAUUAUGAAACGGCAAAUUCAAGUAGGAGCGGACGUCGAACUCUCUCGCUUCGUAGCUAUUACGAAAUCAGGAACUUUCGAGUUGGCGUCCACAUUUGCCGACGGCCAAGAUGAAUAUGUGUAUAAACGCCUCGCUCCCGAUUUCAAUACUGAUUCUUAGUUUGUUUUGAAGAUUUGACUUUGAGACAUUGUAUAUAUAUAUAUAUAUAUAUGUAUGUAUAUGUACGUACGUACGAUAUGUGUAUAUAAAUAUUCGUCGUAAAUUAUUGAUUUUUCUCGUGUCGAG